This 102-nucleotide microRNA precursor is filed under the name Marmota monax (woodchuck). Lineage: Eukaryota; Metazoa; Chordata; Mammalia; Rodentia; Sciuridae. The record is from RNAcentral.
UGUAGAAUUGCUGGGUCAUAGGGUAAUUCUAUUUAAUUUUUUUAAGGCACUACUAAACUGUUUUCCACAAAGGCUGUACCAUUUUACAUUUCCAUGAGUAAU